This 865-nucleotide ribosomal RNA is filed under the name uncultured bacterium. Its description in RNAcentral is "bacterial SSU rRNA". It matches the Rfam family "Bacterial small subunit ribosomal RNA", at positions 641 to 1504 of the family's 1533-position model. The record is from RNAcentral.
CUUGAGUUAUUGUGAAGUAGUUAGAAUGUGUAGUGUAGCGGUGAAAUGCAUAGAUAUUACACAGAAUACCGAUUGCGAAGGCAGAUUACUAACAAUAUACUGACGCUGAGGGACGAAAGCGUGGGUAGCGAACAGGAUUAGAUACCCUGGUAGUCCACGCCGUAAACGAUGACAACUAGCCGUUGGGCAGAUUUAACUGUUCAGUGGCACAGCUAACGCAUUAAGUUGUCCGCCUGGGGAGUACGGCCGCAAGGCUAAAACUCAAAUGAAUUGACGGGGGCCCGCACAAGUGGUGGAGCAUGUGGUUUAAUUCGAUGCAACGCGAAGAACCUUACCAAUCCUUGAAAUCUAGCGAAGUUCGCAGAGAUGUGAAUGUGCCUUCGGGAACGCUAUGACAGGUGUUGCAUGGCUGUCGUCAGCUCGUGUCGUGAGAUGUAUGGUUAAGUCCAGUAACGAGCGCAACCCCUAUCCUUAUUUGCCAGCGCGUAAUGGCGGGAACUAUAGGGAGACUGCCGGGUGAAACCCGGAGGAAGGCGGGGACGAGGUCAAGUCAUCAUGGCCCUUAUGGAUUGGGCUACACACGUGCUACAAUGGGAAGUACAGAGGGAUGCUAAAGCGCGAGCUGGAGCCAAACCCUUAAAGCUUUUCUUAGUCCGGAUUGGAGUCUGCAACUCGACUCCAUGAAGUUGGAAUCACUAGUAAUCGCGAAUCAGAAUGUCGCGGUGAAUACGUUCUCGGGCCUUGUACACACCGCCCGUCACAUCAUGGAAGUGGGUUGCACCAGAAGUGGUUAGUCUAACCUUCGGGAAGACGAUCACCACGGUGUGAUUCAUGACUGGGAUGAAGUCGUAACAAGGUAACCGUA